UACAGAGGGUGCAAGCGUUACUCGGAAUUACUGGGCGUAAAGCGUGCGUAGUCAGUUAUCUAAGUCAGGUGUGAAAUCCCCGGGCUCAACCUGGGAAUUGCAUUUGAUACUGGAUAGCUAGAGUUCGGCAGAGGGAAGUGGAAUUUCUGGUGUAGCGGUGAAAUGCGUAGAUAUCAGAAGGAACAUCAGUGGCGAAAGCGACUUCCUGGACCAGAACUGACGAUCAGGCACGAAAGCGUGGGGAGCAAACAGG
RNAcentral lists this ribosomal RNA (253 nucleotides) under uncultured bacterium. RNAcentral describes it as "partial 16S ribosomal RNA". It matches the Rfam family "Bacterial small subunit ribosomal RNA", at positions 524 to 776 of the family's 1533-position model. The record is from RNAcentral.